RNAcentral lists this ribosomal RNA (480 nucleotides) under uncultured bacterium. Its description in RNAcentral is "partial 16S ribosomal RNA". It matches the Rfam family "Bacterial small subunit ribosomal RNA", at positions 28 to 506 of the family's 1533-position model. The record is from RNAcentral.
GAUGAACGCUGGCGGCGUGCUUAACACAUGCAAGUCGAACGAAGCACUUUAUUUGAUUUCCUUCGGGACUGAUUAUUUUGUGACUGAGUGGCGGACGGGUGAGUAACGCGUGGGUAACCUGCCUUGUACAGGGGGAUAACAGUUGGAAACGGCUGCUAAUACCGCAUAAGCGCACAGCAUCGCAUGAUGCAGUGUGAAAAACUCCGGGGGUAUAAGAUGGGCCCGCGUUGGAUUUGCUAGGUGGUGAGGUAACGGCCCACCAAGGCGGCGAUCCAUAGCCGGACUGGGAGGGGGACCGGCCGGAAUGGGACAGGGACAAGGCCCCAACGCCCACCGGAGGGAGGAGUUGGGGAAAAUUGACAAGGGGCGGAAGGCAGAAGCAGCGACGGCGGGUGGGCGGAGAAGGAUUUGGGUAUGGAAAGCUCCUGUCACAGGGAAGGAAAGGACGGUACCGGUAUAAGAAGCCCCGGCUACAAACGG